AGAUGUGAGGGCGAUAUGGCUGCAACAUCUGUCACCCCAUUGAUUGCCAGGGUUGAUUUAGCUGGCUAGGCAGGUGUCCCCUUCCUUCCUCACUGCUCCAUGUGCUUGGUCGAAGAGGACAGCCUUCCCCAAAUGCAGACAGACAGGUCUUCUUCCAUGGAGGGUAUAUAAGUAGCUGUGCUCCCCUGCUAGAACCUCCAAACAAGCUCUCAAGAUACAGAAAGGAGAUGAUCUGACUCUUCAGUUCAUGACAACUGUCUCUGAAGGUUGUAGUGGAGGAUAUUGGAUACUGACACAAGUU
This is an unclassified non-coding RNA of Erinaceus europaeus (western European hedgehog), 301 nucleotides long. Its record names the gene 7SK. It matches the Rfam family "7SK RNA". From Rfam's summary of the family: 7SK was discovered as an abundant small nuclear RNA in the mid-70s but a possible function has only recently been suggested. The record is from Ensembl. NCBI's taxonomy places the organism in Eukaryota, Metazoa, Chordata, Mammalia, Eulipotyphla, Erinaceidae.